GCGGACAUGGUGCAUGGUGCACUCCUCUCCAUCCGUUCAGGAACAACGCAGUUGAAGGAGGUGUCGGGGUUCGACUCCCCGUGUCCGCA
Molecule: non-coding RNA, 89 nt
Organism: Mycena leptocephala
Lineage: Eukaryota; Fungi; Basidiomycota; Agaricomycetes; Agaricales; Mycenaceae
Source: the annotation of a GenBank genome assembly